GGGAGGGGGAGCAGGGGGCAGGACAGGCGGUGAACAGGAGGGAGUCUGAAAGUUUUCAGAGAUGAGACAUUUGCGUUUCUCAGCUCCCAUGGCUUCUUGCCUGAAAUUGUUUCCCUCCAUAGGAGAUUUGAGUAACCGAUCCCUUGACAAACAACUUAAGACAGCUGGAGCUCUAAUCAUCAAGGAUUUUUAUGGUGCUGCUUUUGAAGUAAAAAUAGUGAAACCCCUUAUGGCAUUUCAAGUGGAAAAAUAAAUAAGACUGGCUGUCCAACCAGCCGGAUGUAAGGUGAUGGCUGGAAGUGCCGAGAGUGGUGUGGUUCCAUGUUGUAGGUAUGCACGUGCUCCCAUGGCCAUGACCUUUGAGACAGUGUAGGCUAGUUUGUCAGGUCCUGUGCUGAGUAUUCACCUCUGAAUCUCCUUCUUCUAGAAAGCAUGGUAGGAAUACUGCCUGUCCAAGGCACAGGGCUGUCGUGAGGUUUUAUUGAGUCACAGUCGUGAAGGGCUUUGGUAAUUUCAUAGAAGAUCACCUGUUCUACCUAGGCUUUAAAUUUGUUGCUAUAAAAUUGAGUAUGGUUUUCUCCUGUUCACUUAAGUCUCCCCAUUGUCACUUUAUUCCUUUUUUCAUUCAAAACUUGCCAAAGAUUUGUCUAUUUUAGAGGUAUUUUCAAAGAACCAAACUUUUAUCGAUCAUAUCUGCUGGGUAAUUUUCUUACCUGAUUCUUUUAUGCUUUUAUCUCUGAAUUCUUCUUUUCUGUGUUUCUGGAUAGAUUUCGUGGUUCUGCAAAGUCUUGACAAGCUGAGGAGUCAUACCUGGAAAGGAUGAUAAAGAGACUGGGAUGAAAGUAAAAUGAAGGACCACCACUAUCUGGCUGCCCUAGAAUCAGAACCCAAAAAGGCUUUUUGGGAUAAAGAGGUCAGUCUAUCUAAAGCUAGCAAAUUGUUGGGAGAUACUAAGGAAAUCUAAAGCUGAAAUGCUAUUGGCAGGCCCCUAAACUCAGCCCUAAGAACUCUUCAUUUCCAUCCAACUGGGAACCAUCACAAACGAGGAUCUGAUGGGAGUUGGGGAGUAACCCAGUCAGAACAGCCUUUGAGAUGGGAUUCUGUCGGCAAGAAACAGGACAGCAUUUGAGUGGUGACAGUAGCAGGGCCAUGGAGAAGGCUACUGGCUUCUCUAGAUGACUGGGAAUGGGGAGAAGUAGACAUAAGGAGUGAGUGUGGGUGAGGCAGGGACACAGGAGAAAAGGUAGGCUGGGGAGAAGGAAGCAGUGAAAGAUGAUAGAAGGAAAGCCAACUCCUAUUGAAUAGCUGCAGGAAAGGAGGCCAGAGAAGGGCUGUCACCUGUGUCCAUUUGGUGGGCAGAGCCAGAACCCUGUCUUCUACCAUCCAAUGCAAAGUUCACUCCCCAACGCACCAAAAUGUGUGAAAGGGCCACUGUUCUGAAAAGAGGAAUGACUGAAGAAGUGCUCUCCCUGAUGGAAGAUGGUCCUGCCUAGGGAGCUUGGCCUGUCUCAGCCCAGCAACCCUCCCUCCCCAGUAUCUUCCUGAAAGUCCCAGGAAGAACACAGUUUGAUCUGCCAGGCUUCAAGGGGAGAAUGAAGUAUGUUGAGAAAAACUUCUAUUGUUAGGCAGGCUUGAGGUGAAGAAGAGAACCUGCCUAAGCAGCAACUGAAGGCUUCAGACAGAAGCCUUGGGUCUCCCUUUGGGAUCCUGGAAAAGGGACUCAGAGGCUGGGCAGAGAUAGACUUUAAGGACUGAAGAACCUUGAUGCAAGGCUUGAGAGAGUCCCAGCGCUUACGCCCUGCCUUUGUGACUAUACCUCACCUGUCUCAUAGAGAACACACCACCACUACAGCAUCGGCCCCAAGGCACAGUCUCCGUAAAUGUUAUUUCCUCUGUUUUAUGGCUCCCUGCCACUGGCCUUUACUAAGCUCCAGCCUGUUAGGGAUGUGAUCUGAUCCCCCAGCUCUCCCUCUCAUUCAUUCAUUUGAGGAGCAUUUGCCAGGCUCUUUUCCAAGCUCUGAGAAGCUGGUGCAGAAUGACUGUGCCCUCCUUGAGGAGCUCAGAUCAGCAGGAGGGAGGGCAGAGUCAUUCUUGUGGGUAGAUAAUACCAUGUUAUUAGGGCUUUAGUGGAGUUAGGUAGAGAUUAUUUGGGAGACCAUAUCUCAGUACCUCUGUGUGAAGUCCAUUAAUUAUUUUUUACCUUCUCUGCAAAGGCAGUAUCCUGAAAAGGAAAACACCAAGGUGUAGCUUUCUUUCUGGGAGACCAAAGUCCUCAGUUUGAGCCCCUACUUAGCCACCAUUUUACCCAGCAACCCUCCAUGGAUUUCCCUCUCUUGGAGAGUAACCCCUGUCUGUCCAGCCUCCUCCCAACGAGGAACCAGAGGAAGCAUAUGUUUGAGAGUGCUUUGUCAAAUAUCCCAAAGGGUCAGAUAUGAGUCUUCUUCAAAGACUAAUCUUCUGGGUGGUUCUGGCCUCUCAGUACUUUUCCUGAGCAGCUUGUGUGGAGCCUGUACUUGGACAGCUCAACACCUUUUCCAAAGCCAAACCCUCUGCCAGCCUCCUGCCCCACACUGGUAGUGGUGACCCUCCAAGGAGGGGGCAGGCAGGCAGGUGCUAAGGCCCUGGGACUGAUUCCCAUCCAUUUUCCAUGUGGCUUUGCUCUCCUUACUGUUCUCUAGGCCUCUGUUUCCCCAUUUAUAAGUCAAGGAGGGGGCUGGACCAAGAUAUCUUUAACAUUUCCAAAGCUGUCUUCUGUGAAACAUCAGUGACAUUUAUCUCCUUGUUAUUUUAGUCUUAGAGACAGUGGUUGAAAGAAAGUAUAUUAAGACAAUCAAGUGUUUAAUCAAAGGAUCUUUUGCAUUAAAAAAUAAACUUGAAGUCUCUUGGGUGCAGAACUGUCAAGGAUCUUAGCUUAGAGCCAAAGAAGACAUGGAAGUGUCUAUGAGGCAGGAAAGACAGACAAAGCCCUUCAGUAAUUCCAUAUUGUUUAUGGGCCCAAUCCCUUGGCUUGGUCAUCAAGGCCCUGCACAACCCUUGAAGAUAAGGGGCUUAGUCUUUGUUCCUUGACCAAGCACAGAAUUUACCUGACCAGGCCUGGCAUAGUACCUGCUGGUUGGCUGACCUGGUGGCUAGAUGAAUAGGUGGUUCAAUCAAUUGCUAAGAGUCCCUAAGUAAUUGGGUGGCCCAGUCUUUCCUAGAAGGAAAGGAACUCUGUUUGCCUCCCAAAUCUCUUGGCAACUCUGAAGUGACAGAGAUUAUUUUCCAGCCUCCAGACUAGUAUUGUGAACAAAGAUAUGCGAGAAGAACCUUAUAAAAGACUGCCCAGCCUGGCAUCCUCGCUGUGGCAGCAGCUCACAUGUGGUUUAGGAGUAGCCCCACCAGGUGGUAGACACCCUGUAAGGUCUGGAUGUAGGUGGACUCCUGGGUCACUUGUAAGCCAAGGGGAUUCCCUCUUCUUCCCUCCCUCUACCUUUCCCACCCCCUAACCCUGCAUAUGGGACUUCCCCAGCUUUCCCGCUUUUAUGAAUUCCUCCCCAUAGGCUGGCAGGCAGGUGAGCUUGCAGGAGUGCAGAUCGUGAACUACUGUUUCACAGAGAGUUGACCGAAGCUCUGCUGAGAGGUUUCUUGACUUGCCCAAGAGUUCACAGCUAGGCCAGGCUGGCCCUUGAUUCCUGAACUCUGAUCACAUCUUAGAUGGUCCUCUGCCUUGCUCAUUUUCCCAUUUCCAUCUCCUCUUCCCCUCCUAGAUCAUGAGUGUCCUCUUUAGACAGUCUGAGAACUCCCUGCAGCCGGGCCCCACUGCCACACACACCCAUAUGAGCCCAUCACCGGGAUUUAAGUCCUUUCAUCCUAUUCCCUCAGACCAUUCCAGGGAAAAACUGUCCUCAGUCCAACCCCCAGACUCCAGCUACAAUACUGUGGGGGUUAGACUACUAUUCACAGAUGGGGUGGGCCAUUUGGGGGGCUGCUUUUUGGUGGUUGGCUUUUGGUUUUGUUUGUUUUUACUUACUGGCCAAAUAGGAUCCAGUUCUUCUUUCCACCCUCAGAGCCAUUUUUAUGAACGCCAUAUGGUUCCAUUUUGUACUGACAGGAACUGGGGACCACAGGCACAUAGCACACACCACAGCUACUGUGACUAAUAGCCCUGGCAGCUGUGCCCUCCUAACAGUCUGGGUGUGCAGUAUGAGUGAUGUCCAAAACCAGCAAGAUUGGAUUGGGCCUCCCGAUCCCUGGUCGUGAUGACACCACUGCACCUCUAGUCCUGUCUCUCCGGUCCCUUGAUCUUUCCUAUAUCCAUCUCCUUCUUUUAAUUCAGAUCAUCUCUUGCUGAACAGUUGCACCAGAUGUCUCUCUGCUUUCAAUCUUGUCUCUUUCAACCCAUCAACCAAAUGGCCACCAUUGGCCAUCUUUACCAGCUUAGGUCAUGUUCUGUGGCUCUUGGCUUAACUUCGUCCUUCCCUAUUGCCUAGAGGAUGGCAUUCUCUCUGUUAAUGGAGCAGAGCAUUUCACAGCCUGGUUCCCUACCCCUAGGUGUUCCUGCUCUGCUUCUGCAGGUGCCCAGCCAGAGGAGCCCACCUGUCCUCCCGGAAGAGAUGGCCCCUUUCACUUGAGAUUCCAGGAGAUUGCCCAGGGAGAAGGUGUGGAGGGAGGGGUUUUGAGAAGGAAUAUGAAGCCUCCAGUGGUGAGCAGUACCAGCAAGACAACCAAGAAGAGGCAGUUGGGUUGGUCAGUUAGGAGGUCUUGUCAUCCAUCUUGGGGUUGGCAGAGCAAUAGAGACAGACAUCACAUCACCAUGGGAAGAGAAGAGAAUAAGAGGAAGAAGUGGAGAUGAGAGGAACAGGUCACCUCUUCCAACUAUGAAGGGAAAGAGGUGGAUGAGUGGAAGUGACCCGUUUGGACUGGUCUUUUUUUAUGUAGCUAAUAUUUGGCCUGUGCUUUUCUGGAUCAGGCCCUGAUGAGCAUUUUGUCAACAAUAUCUCCCUGAAACCUUAAGAGAACAUCCUAGGGUUGACGUGGUUUUGCCCACUAUACAGAAGAGCUUCAAAAGAUGAAGGCACUUUCCCAAGAUGGGGGGCAGAGCUGGGAUUUGUGUCCCAUUCUGUUGCCCUUCAGAGCCUCACUUUCACCACUGUCCUUGUCUUCCCUGUAGUCAUGAGGGGAAGAAGGAGGUGGAGGGCUGCCUGCAGUUAGGGAGCUGGGGCAAAGGCACCAGGGAGGCUCCCGGUGCUCAGAUAGGACUGGAAGUCUGGGACACAUCAUUUUUCAGAGGGGGAAGAGGCCAGGGAAGAGAGAGGCUAUUUUUAAUAGCCAAAUAGAUAUGAGCCCAUUAAAAACCAGGAGGAAAGGAAUAAAAUGUUUAAUAAAAUCUUUAAGUAUCUGAGUGGAGGACCUCUCUAAGCUGAAAAGCAAGGAAAUGACACCAAGAAGAGAAAGGCCAACAGCGAACAGGGAUAAGUGAUGGCCUGUGUCCCAAGUGGCCUGGAGUGGACGGCACUAGAUGGACAGAUAGGGGCUUAGCCUUGGAUAGCAAGCAUGCAACGACCCACCCACCCAAACCUGGGAGGCUUAGCACUCGGCAGGUGACCUCAUCUGUUCUCAAGCCAUCACUGGGAGGUACUCAAUAAAUAUUUGCUGGGGUGAAAUAACUGAAAUGGGAAAUUAGAUCAAAGAGGAAAAAUACCAGCAUUAAGCUAUUGAUGAUACAAGAAGUGUCCAGGUGCCGUGGCUCACGCCUAUAAUCCCAGCACUUUGGGAGGCCAAGGCGGGUGGAUCACCUGAGGCCAGGAGUUCGAGACUAGCCUGGCCAACAUGGCAAAACCCCAUCUCUACUAAAAAUACAAAAAAUUAGCUGGGCAUGGUGGCAUGCACCUGUAACCCCAGCUACUCGGGUGACUGAGGCAUACGAAUCGCUUAAACCCGGGAGGCGGAGCUGCAGUGAGCCGAGAUCAUGCUGCUGCACUCCAGCCUCAGUGGCAGAGCGAGACCCUGUCUCAAAAAAAAAAAAAAAAAAAAAAGAUGAUAGAGGAAGGCCAGGAACCACCCUUGGCUAGUUAAGUUGGGCUGCCUGGAGUAUUGAGAAUUGACACCUACAUGGUGGCCAGUACUAGGAUGACCAACCUCUCCUAUGGGCACAGUUCUGUACAGUUUACAAGGGUUUUUUUUUUCUUUCUUUUUUUUUUUUCGGUGGGGGCGGGCCUCACAUACUCAUGGUAUUACCCAUUUAGGGUCUUGAGGUUUGAGGACCCUAUGUAGACUUACCCUCAGUCUGUUGGGUGAGUUUGCUUCUAUCAUCUUGGAUUCUUGAUUAUCCCUAUUUUUUAGAGGAGAGAACAAACUUCAGUUCUUCCAGAAAGAACUGGCAAAAAUAGGCCUGUACUCCUCUGACUUCACUGUCUUCUUUACGCACCAUGCCACUUUCCUGAACAAUAUACAAGUUUACCAUGUAAUUAUUUUAGAACCCAGGGUCCACAUAUUUUUGUGGUCAAGAUUCGACGGGCAAAGUCCUCACACUGAGUUUUCCCAGCAAGGAUGCUUUCCACUCACUUGCUGGAUGGCUGUGGGUCACCUCCCCUCACUGGGCCUUGGUUUCCCCGUCUGUGAAAUGAGGUAGUUGGAUUAGAUAAUUCCACAGUUCCCUUCCAGCUCUAGCAUUACCCUCAGAUACCCUGGUGCCUAGAGCAGUAAUUGAACAAGGAGGAUGGGGACCCCAGGUUCUGGGUCAAGAACUCAUCUUGCAGCAUGGAGGAAUCGUGAUGAUGGCUGCAGCCCCCAGAAGGUGAACUUGGCAGGAGCUGGCUGAGAUGAUUUUUCUGCUGAUGGUGAAAUGUGCUGGCAGAGUCUAUACAGGUAGGUUGGUGUAGGUGAGGAGUGGGGUGGGCAUUUUGUCUCUUGUGACCCCGAAUAAUGUUUCCUUGCAGAAUUGGAAGCCUCUAGGACAGGUGGAUGCCAGCUAGAUUUAGCCAUUCACAUUGGCAAAGUAGGUGAUCCAUCUUUCCACACACUCUUCUGUCAGGCUUCCAGAAAGGCUUUCUGCUCCCAUCCCUUAAACACCUCCCUGUGUUUCACUGUCACUGUGCCUGGAAUCAUACCUUCCUGUAGCCUUCCAGUUCCUGUUCAGGUGGUAUGUGCUCUGAGAAGGCUGGGACCAUAAAUGCUGUAAUCAGCCGGGAAUAGCUAAGCUCAGAGCCAGAGCCAAGAAGGAAAGGGUUACCCAAAAUUGAGGCAUGAACUGUUGAUUCACUAAAAAGAGAAAAAGUCCAUUCCAACUUCACCUCAGAGCACACACCCAAAUUCAAAAAUUAUUUUCAAAGGUCAAAAGGAAAAAUGAGCCCAUUAAAAACCAGAGGGAAAAGGAAUAUUUAACAAGUGACUGAAUGAGGGAGCCCAUUUAAGCUAAAAAGCAGCAAAAUGACAUCAAGAAGGCAAAGGCCAACCAAUUUGACUACAUUAAAACUAAAUAUUUUCAAAGUCAAGUAAUAUCACAAACAACCAAAAAGCAGAGUGGUUGCAGAUUCUUAAUGUAUAAAAGAACACACCCAAAACUUUAAUAGUAAAAGCAAAACAGGUAAGUGUGUGUAAGUCACCUGAAUUGAGUUUACAGGAAAAGAAAUGGAAUUGACUGAAAAACUUUUUGAAAAAACAUUCAACUUCACUAAUAACCAAAGAUCAACAAUAAAAACAACAAGGAAAUACAAAUUUUCCCUAACAAAUUAGGGGAAGAAAUUUAAGAAUACCCAAUGUUCAUGAGGAUAGUGGAAUAGGCACUGUUUCACACUACUGGGGGGAAUGUGAAUUGGUGUACACUUCUUGGAAAGUCGGAAGAAGAGAGAAGUUUUCAGAGAGAGUAAGUGGCCUGUAACUUUACUCAACAUUUAUUGAGUAUCUACUUUGCGUCAGGCAUGAUGAUAGGUUUUUAAAUAUUGGCCAGGCACAGUGGCUAAUGCUUGUAAUCUCAGCAGUUUAGGAGGCCAAGGCAGGAGGAUUGCUUGAGCUUAGAAGUUCAAGACCAGCCUAAGCAACAUAGCAUGAUCCUGUAUCUAUAAAAGUACACACACACACACACACACACACACACACACACACACACACCUGAAGAUAAAUAUGAUCCUUGCCCUUGGGAGUUCAAAGAGUUAAGAAAAACACACAGACAGACACUAAAAUGAUACAUAGGAAGGAGAAGGCCAGAGAGGUGCCUGGGACAUGGAAGCAUGGGCAGCUGGGGUUGGUGGUGCAGGUGUGAAAUUUCAUGGGAAUAUCCAAGGAGGUUCCUAGAAGAGGUGACUGGAUGGGUAGGAGUUACUCAAGUAGAAGGCAGAGGCAGAGGUGAGAGCCAUCAUGGAUGAACUCAGACAGCUGGGGAUUGCUGAAGCAUGAAAUGAGAGGCUAGGGGUGGAGAAAGCAGAACCAGAUCACAUAGUGUUACUAUGUCUAAUUUAAGACUUGGGUCUUCAAUUGCAGCAGGGAGCCCCUGAAGCAUUUUGUGCAAGCAGGUGCCAUGGUAGGAUUUCUCUUUUGAGGUGAUUACUCUGGUUGCUUGGAGAAAUUUGGAGGCGUGUGGGCCAGAGAGGAGAUGAUUGCCUUGGUCCAGGUGGGGUCCAGGAGGGAUAAGGGUAGGGGCCAAGAGGAUGGAAGGAAGUGGUCGGAUCCAGGAGGUGAAAUUGGGAGAAUCUGCUGACUGGUUGGUUGCUGGUGUUAAAGAAAGACAGUAAAGGAUACCUUUCCUGUUUUCUGUCGUGAGUGACUGGGUGAAUGGAAGAACACCUAGGAGAAAGAGCAGGUUUGGGGGCUAAGAGAAAGUUAUUGAGCUCAAUUUUGGACAGGUUGAGUCAGAGGUGGGCAUCCAGGAGGAGGUGGCCUGCAAGGAGCUAGAUAGAGGGUCUAGAUCCAGCAGGAGAUUUAAACAAGAGAUUUGGUUUGAGACUAUGGUCAUUGUAGCCAUGGGCUUUGGUGAGCUGGCUCUAGCAGAACGUGUCAGCUGAGAAAAGAGGGGUCCAGGAACAAGAAAGAGCCUUGCCCCCAUUUAAGGGGUGGGCAGAGAGAGGGGAGCCCACAAAGGUGAAAAAGAAGUCAGAGAGACAUAGAAAAAGCACCUGUAGCCUAUGUUGGCAUGGAAACCUGGGGAUGUGGAGCACUUCCAAAAGAGAGCCAACAGACAAAAGAGAAAGGCCAGCUAGACAGGGACCGAGAGCCCACUGGAUGUAGUAAUUAGGGGCCACUAGACCCUCAUCAAGAACAGUUUCCUGUGAGAGAUGGGGCAGAGGAAAAUGAAAGGGCAAGGAAAGCAGGCAGCAUGGCCACCUCUCAGGGAAAGCUGCUAGAGUAACAGUUUGGGCCAGGGGACAAUUUCUGAGCUGGCUCUGGACUGAGAUGACCUAAGGAUAGAUGUGAUAGAAGCAGUCCAGAAGGCUAUCACCUAGAGUCCUCCCACCUGUCUGAGUCAGAGGCAGGAGCAAAGGGCGAGGGUGGGCAAGGAAGGAAAAUGUGCAUAGCUGGCAUCAAGUAGGAAAGUGUAUGUACCUGUACCGGUUGGGAGCUCACCAAAGAAGGGUGAGCAUCUCAACAGGGAUAGAUGAAGAACCAGAGAUGCACUCAAAGAAGGACAAGGCCAGAAACGAGUUCGUGACAUUUUAGGAAUGGGUACAGGAAGAGAGUCCUGCUGAGGAGACUGAGAAGGAGGGGCCAGAGGAGAAGACCAAAAACAUGGGGUUCCUAGAAGCCAGAGGACAGUUUCCAAAAGGACAGAGUGGCCACUGGUGGGCCACAUGCACAGAGGUCAGUGGAGGCUCAGGCAUCUCCUAGACCUGGCCUUUGGGGACUUUUGUCACAGCAACUUUGGGGCACGGGGCAGAAGCUCCUCUUGGUGUGGGGGGAAUGAACUGGGUCUGGCUGAGAAAGGAGGGAGGGGGAGUUGGAGCAGGCAGUGGGUCCAGGAAGGAGCUAAUUCUUCCAGGAGACAUGGGAGGGAGGAAGCAGUACAAGCCCAGUUGGAAGGGCAGGGCGGGGCAGUGAGAGGGGCCCUGGAGCUCUGGGAUUAAGUGUAGAGGUGAAGGGAUUAGCAGUGUUGGUGAAAAGGGACAAAAGUAAAUUAUGUACAUUUUAGCAAGUAACCUGAUCUCCAUGUUCUUUGGGAGGCCUUUUCUCUGCCCUCUGGGUACUGACUCCAGCUCUAAUUAGCACGGGUUUGUCUGCCUCGUGGCUAGGGCCAUGUCUUUCUCAUUUUCUUGUACCUUUCAGCACCUAGCAACAGGCAGCCAGCUAGGUAGGGGCAGAAUAAUUAUUUUCUGCUUGAAAUCCAGUGUCUGAAAUAGAGAUUCAGAAAUUUUUCUUUGUAUCAAAAAGACUUUGUGACAAUAUCCAGGGAGCAAUGAAAUAGGUAAGGUCCAGGUCACAGGCUUGAAUGGGACAUUCAGGGUCUCAGUAGCAGUUCUAUUUGUUGGUAUUGCCUAGACAUCAAAGAAUUCUAUUUCUUCGCUAUUUGGACAGAAGUCAAAGUCCAGAGAGAGGCUUGGUUUAGCUGGCUGAGCUUGGGCCUUGUGCCAUCCCCGAUAGGACCUGGGUGGUAAGAGGCAGGACCUGGAGGAGGGGCCUCCAUAGCUUCCAUGUGAGAGAACGGCCCAGGUCCCACCACAGCCACAUAAGAUAGAAAAUUUCCCUAAAAGUAAUAAGGGGCUUCAGGGAGGAAUAAGGCAUGCUAAAAAGCCAAAACUCCCAGAUAUCCAUUAGAAGAAGUAGCCAGUUCAGAGGCAGGAGACUUCCAGGUAAGAGAGGGGAAGGCCUGAAGUAGACCAGUGGGGAUGGAGAGAGAUCAGAACUUGUGGUAGAUAAAAACCAGAAAUAAUUAGUGAGUACUUAUCUGUGAGAGUGAGAGAGAAGGUCAAGCCAAAGGUAAUUCCCAUGUGUCUUGGUUUUGUUUGUUUGUUUGUUCGUUCAUAGAGACAGGGUCUCACCAUGUUGCCCAGGCUGAUCUCCAUCUCCAGGGCUCAAGCAAUCUUCCCACUUUGACCUCCCAAAGUGCUGCAAUUACAGGCAUGAGCCACCAUGCCCAGUCCCGUGUAUCUUGAGUGGAGUCCUGGGUGGAUGGUGGGGAGGCCCCUGGGGUGGGGAACACAGCAUGGAGAGCCAGUUUGAGGGACAGGAUAGUGGACUCAGACACAGCCAAGUGGGGCCCAGCAGACACUUAGAUCCUGGUGUCCAGGGCUCAGGAAGAGAUUUAGCUGGAAGCACUAGCCCAGGGCUGUCACCACUCAGAGUAAUGGGGACCCUAAGCAUAAGUGAGAUUACCAGGGAGAGUGUGUAGAGAAAAAAUGGGAGAGGGCUCAGGUCAGAAUCAUGAGUCAUAGUGACAUUUGAGGAGCCAGGUGUGGGCAGGCAAAAAAGGAGAAAUAAAAGGAAGGGCCUGAGAGAUGCGACAAACAACCAGGAGAGGGGGUUGCCAUGACAACCAAGUUAGGGAAGAGUUUCAAGGAGAAAGUAAUCAACACUGUCAAAUGCAGCAGAGAAUUCCAAUAAGAUAGAGAAUUUUUCCUUUGGAUUUCAUAAUUAGUAAGUUUUGAUGGCCUUAAUAAGAGCAUGUUGAGGGAGUGAUGGCCUAGGCUGGAAUAAUGGUGAGAUGUGAGAGGACAUGGAUCUGUCACUAGGAGUCCUCUAAGGAGUCCAGAAGGGAGAUUUGGAGAUGUGAAGGGUAGGGGCUGGGAGGCUGAGGCUAGGAAAGAUGAGCAGGUGUAUAGGCUCAGCUCCCAAAGUGUUAAGCAUCCAUUGUUUAAUACGAAAGUUGAUACAUUCCACAUAAUUCUCUUUUAGCACCUAAUUGUGUGCCCAGCCCAGCAGUGUGCCUAGCACUGUGGAUACUUGGGUGAAUGAAUUAAAAUAGUCAGAAUCCCUGUUCUCAUGGUGGUAGGGGAGAAAGACAUAGUCAGAUAAUCACAUAUGUAAAUGUACAAUUUCCAACACUGAUAGGCACUCUGAAGGAAUGGUACUGAGUACUGAAGGGUGUGCCACCAGGGGACCUGCCCUCAUCUGACUCUGGGAGGCUUCCCUGAGGAGGUGAUCCUCCAAACCAAGAUAGAAAGAAGAGAACAAAGUUGACCACAAAGCAAAUUGGAAAGCAUUCUGAGCAAAGGGCCUGACUAGAGAGGAAGGAGAGGUGAGACCAGAGAGACAAGCAGUUCUGGCUAUACAGAGCAUUGGAGACCAGGGCUGAGCUCCUGCCAACAUCCUGAGAGCGAGGGAAGCAGGGGAUGUGACCUGCCCUGGUAUGUUGCUGUAAUCUGCCUGGGACUCUGGCUGUUCUGUGGAGAAAUCAUUAGAGCAGCAUGGGUAGACAGGGAGGCUAGUUCGGAAGCUUUGUUGUAGUGGACAGGAUUUGGACAUGAUCUGCAUAUUCUGGUUAGUCUUGGUGCUGGAUGGAAUGAAGAGGGGCUGGAAGAGGGCAGCGUUCAGGAUGACCCCUGAGCUUCUGGUUUGCCUUACUGGUGAGAUGGCAAUGCCAUUUUCAGAGCUGGGGAGCCCUGGAAAGGGGCCAGGUCUGUAAGGUAGACCCCAAGUCCAGUGGUAAAAGCUGAGACAUCCCAAUGCAGAUGGAGAAGAAACAGCUGAAGGCACAGCUCCAGAGCACAAGGUGAGAAAUUAUGGAGACCAGUCCAGGGCUCCAGGGGGCUCCCAAAUGGAAAUAUGGAUCCAGAUGUUGACAGGCUUCUGGGGCAUUUUUAGGCGAGGGGAUGGCUGAGGACAAAAAAAUCAAGCCCAAGGAGCACCAACAUUUGGAGAUUAGAAAAGAGAAGAAGAAUCCUCUGAGAGCACUGAAAAGAAAGAGCCGGGAGGUGUCUCAGCAGAAAGACAGGGUGGUCAGCAGUGGGUGUGUGCAGAGAGGUCAGGAGGACCAGGGCAAUCCCUGAACUACUCCAGUGUGCACCUGCACAACCUCCAUGGUGCCUCUGGAAUUGGGUAGCAUGGUGGCCCUGCUGAUGAGCACCCCAAGGGGCCAUUGGGGGACCUCUGAGAAUCUCUGCCAGAGCAGUUUGGGUGGGAGUCGAUUAAGGAAAGAAGCAGCAAGAUCCAGGACUUUUAAUCUUAAAAGAGAGAGAAAUGCUGGCAGAUGAACAUUCUGAGGAUAAGGAGCCUGAGUAAUUGAGCGAUUAGGGAUGGAGACAAUUAGUGAGAUGAGCUCCCAAAGGGGCUGGGAUCAACUAUGGAGGUGGAUAAAUUAGUUUGGGGCAAUAAUGUGUAUUUGACUGAAUGGGGCAAAAUUAAAUUAUGUACCUUUUAGAGAGUAACUUGAUCUCCAUGUUCUUUUGGGAGCUUUUAUCUGACCUGUGUACCGACUAUAGUUCUAAUUAGCACCAGUUUUAUCCUGUCUUUUGGCUGGGAUUAUGUCUUAUUAUUUUGUGUGUUUCUCAGCACCUAGCAACAGGUAGUAAGCUCCUUGGGUGCCGAAUCAGUAUUUUCUGCCUUGGAAUCAAAUGUCAGAAGUCAACACUCAAACUUCUUUUGACCAAAAAGAUUCUACGACAAUUAUCCAGAAGUUACAAUGCAAGGAAGAAGAAUUGGAUGUUAAGUCUUGCGUAGCAGGGGUUAUGGGGAGUGGAUCAAGACAAAGUAGAGGUAUCUGCUCCCCUCAUCCUUGUAAGCUCCAUGCCAUUUAUCCAUGCUCACAUUGAUCAUCUCAUACGAGCUUCACAUUUCCCCACAAGAAAUGGAGCGUAACCCCAUUACCUACUCAUAGAGGAGGAACUGGAAGCCAGAGAGGGAGAUGCCUUAUUGACACAGAGCACAAGUGGCAGGAGCUGGCUUCAGACCUCAGUCCAUCCGGUGUGGCAGUCCCUCUUCCCAGGACCAGGUGGAGCUGGAGAGAAGGAGGAAGAGGAGUCUGUGAGGUCCAGAUGGAGAUGCUCGGCAGGCCCUUUCCAAAGGUGGGAGGUGAGGUCGGCCUGGAACCCUACUGGAUGCUUAAGUGUCCUGCCGCACUGCUGAUGAAAGCAGGUCCCCACCGCAGUGUAUAUACAUUGUGUGUUUGCAUCUAAAACGUCUAUAGUUGUUUGAAAUGUUUAAAUCUUUAACCCAUCUGAGAUGUGUUUUCAUGUAUGGUGUGACACAGAGCUCUAAUUUGCUCUUUUUGCAGAUAUCCAGUUUGCUAAGCACCAUUUAUUGUUCCAACACCAUCUUUUCUCUCAAUUCCCUGUCUAGACUCCGGUUCUGUUGAUCUAUUUGUCUAUUUCUGAGCCAAUAGUACAUAUUAAUGAGCAAAGCUUAAUAAAGUGUCUUAUGGCUUGAUAAGAUAAGCACUCCACCCUUCCCCCAAGGCCUUUAUUCCUUUUUUUUCUUUUUGAGACGGAGUCUUGCUCUGCCGCCCAGGCUGGGGUUCAGUGGUGCAGUCUCCGCUCACUGCAACCUCCGCCUCCCAGGUUCAAGUGAUUCUCCUGCCUCAGCCUCCUGAGUAGCUGGGACUACAGGCACGCGCCACCAUGCCCGGCUAAUUUUUGUAUUUUUUGGUGCAGAUAGGGUUUCACCAUGUUGGCCAGGCUAGUCUCAAACUCCUGACCUCAAGUGAUCCACCCAUCUCGGCCUCCCAAGGUGCUGGGAUUAUAGGCAUGAGCCACCGUGCGCAGCCCCUUAUUCUUUUUUAAAAUUGUCUUGGUCAUAUUGCACAUUUACUUUUUCAGGUACAUUUUAUAAUCAGCUUGUCAAAGUUCUGUGAACAAAAUGUCUGUUGGAAGUUUGAGAAGAAUUGCAUUGAAGGGGAAAUUAACAUCUUUAGAAUAUAAGUUCUUCCCAUCUGUGGACAUGGUGUCUGUCUCUUUUUAAUCAGAAUUGUAUUUGUUUUGUUUUGUUUUGUUUUUAAUGCCUUUUAAUAAAGGUUGGUUGCUUUUGUCAUAAAGAUUUUUCACAGUUCUUAAUAGGUUUAUUCCUGAAAACCUUAUUAGUUUUGUUGCUUUUGUGAGUGGAAAAACUUUCCCUUUUUUCAUUUUGCUUUCCAAAUUUUAAUCAGUUUACUAAUCACUAUGCUUCAUUCACAGACACACACACAGCAAAUGUGCUUUGUCCCUGGGCACACAAAUGAAAACACAGCACACAUGUAAAUCAGAGCUAAUUGGCUGAAAAUGAAUUAGAAUUUUUGAAUUAAAUUUUAAUUAUACAAGUAAUACAUGAAUACAUUUUCCUUUAAAUAAAAUUAGAGCAUUUUAGGUAAAGAAGUCUCUACUGGCCUCCCCAGCCUGACCUCAGGCCCCUUCCCCACUUUAGAGGCAGCUGCUGUUAGGCAUUUGCUGUUGAUCCAAAAUGUUCUCCUAUGCGCAUUGAAACAUGUCCUGUGUUCUAUUGUUGCUUUUGUUUGCUUGCAUAGAUGUGGUGGUGUACACACUGGAGGUGCUGCUCCUGAGCUCAGGGCACCUUACGGGACUCUCCUCAUGUCGCGUGUCACCUGCCGCAGCUGGCUCCACUGCCCCUUUCAGCUGGCCGCUGGCAACCAGAACUGAUUGUGCUAUGAUUUAUUUAGUUGUUGCUUAUUGAUCGACUAUUAAAAGGCUUCCAGUCUUGUUUCAAUAAGACAAACCUGUAACAGCAUCCUUGUACAUGCCACUUUUGCUCAUGUACAAGUGUUUUUCUGGAGCAGAUACUUAGAAACAGAAUUGAUGGGUCAUAGAGUCUACACAUCUUAAAUUCUAAUAGUAACUGCUAAAAUGUUCUUCAAAGUACCUUUCUGAUUUAAUUUCAUGCCAGCAGUAUGUGUGUCCAUUUCUCCAGACCAUCUCCAAGUUUUACAUUUUAACCAAUCUGGUGGGUGAAAAAUAAUAUCUUGUUUUAGUUUGCAUUUUUCUGAAUUACCAGGAUGGCUGAAGUCUGUGUCUCCUAUCCAUUUAUAUUUCCUUCUCUGCAUUACUUGUCCAAAUCUUUUGCCCAUUUCUUUUUUUUAGGGUACGUUGUCUUUUCCUUAUUGAUUUUUUAGAAGUUCUUUAUGUAUUUUGUAUACUUUAUGUGUAUUGCAAAUAUUUUCUGUAUUGUGAUUCUUGUCAUUUAAUUGUAUUGUGUCUUUGGAGAAAUCUUAAAUUUUGAUACAGUCAAAUCGAUCUAUUUUAAUUUUAUGUCUUUUUUUCAAUUUUAUUUAAGAAAGCCUUUCCUGUACUGAGGUCAUAAGCAUUUUUCCUGUAUUUCUUCUCUAACAUUUAUCAUUUACAUAUAUGUGUGUGUGUGUGUGUGUGUAUGCCUUUUUUACCACAUGCAAAAAAUAAAUUCCAUAUGCAUACAUGAA
RNAcentral lists this long non-coding RNA (16243 nucleotides) under Homo sapiens (human). RNAcentral describes it as "HSALNT0400841". Lineage: Eukaryota; Metazoa; Chordata; Mammalia; Primates; Hominidae. The record is from RNAcentral.